RNAcentral lists this long non-coding RNA (2943 nucleotides) under Homo sapiens (human). RNAcentral's name for it is "HSALNT0066701". Lineage: Eukaryota; Metazoa; Chordata; Mammalia; Primates; Hominidae. The record is from RNAcentral.
UGAAGCCCAGUGAGACAGUGGAGGAGAGGGGUCAUGCCACUGCAGUUCCUCGCUAUGCCAUUCAUACAGAGCAUUCUCCAUGCUCAGGAGUCCAGGAGUCCAGUGGGCCCAUGAUGCCCAGGAGCUCGUCGAGACUCAGGGAGCAAAACAGAUCCAUUGAAAAUGACACGAGAAGGAACGAGAGAGCAAGGAUGAUCCAUAGCUCCCUGCCCUUUCAUUCAGCCUCAUCAUAAGCCAAAGGUGCGGAAGACCUACUUAAAACCUGAGAGUCUCGAAUAGGAGAGGCGCUUUCAGAUCAGCCCGAGUCUUCUGCAGCGCACAGGAGCUAGUCGUACUGAAAAGAAUGAAGUUGGACUUGUCCAGGCGAGUUUCGGACAGUGCUGGGCUGCCCUGCUCUGAUCUCCUGGGUGUCUUCACCUCCUCUGGUUCCUAAGUCGGCUGCUGCACCAGCACCCAUCAAACUCUCCUGGAAGAGGAAGUGACAGCUCACCGGUAGCCUAGAAGGCCCCUGUGGGCAGAAGCAUGGACUUACUCCUCCUCAUGGAGAUGCGGCUGAGCCAUAUUUCCUUGGCACCUCUCUGGAACCUUCGACAACCACCACCUCAGACACUAACCAGACUUUAGGUCCAUUCCUUUCAUGGCUAAAAUGAGACAGUCCACAAUGUUGAUUUUAUUUGUAGGGGAUGUCAGGAUUCCAGAAAAGCAGACUUGGAAAGCAACAAAACGUUAACUUGCAGCUCACUGAGGCCCUUACACUUGUUCUGGGCACCUCUGUAUGUUAAAAGAAGUCCAAUAUCUUUAGCUGCUGGUUAUAGGUGGCCAUAUGUUUCUGCACAGAAAUGGGGCUCCCCUUGCUAGACUAAUUUUCUAAUUUUUCCUCAAGCUUCAUUGAUUCAUAUUCUUCUACUUGACCCUGACUGUCAGGACCAACAACACCAAAUAACACCAAAGUCUCUUGCUCCUGUCCUCAGAACCUCUCAGAGGCAUCCUCUGCCCUGUUGGAGCCAUUUUAUUUCAGGUUGAUCCUUAAUUAAAUUCAGCGAGAUGCAGGACCUGUGUGUGUGAGUGUGGAUCUUGUGUGUGAAUGUGGACCUGUGUGUGUGAACGUGGGCCUGUGUGAGUGUGGGCCUGUGUGUGAGAGUGGACCUGUGUGUGUGAGUGUGGGCCUGUGUGUGAGUGUGGAUGUGUGUGUGUGAGUGUGGGCCUGUGUGUGUGAGUGUGGACCUGUGUGUGUGAGUGUGGGCCUGUGUGUGAGUGUGCAACUGUGUGUGUGUGAAUGUGGAUCUGUAUGUGAACAUGGACCUGUGUGUGUGUGUGUGGACCUGUGUGUGUGAAUGUGGAUCUGUAUGUGAACGUGGACCUGUGUGUGUGUGUGUGGACCUGUGUGUGUGAAUGUGGAUCAAUCGCAGAGAAUGGAUUGGCUUGCAUAGCCAAGCACAGGAAGGGCCGACGAAUGGGACACCUGGAGCCAGGACUCAGAGGCCCUCAGGGCCACCUCUGUCCCAUCUCUCCCUGCAGGCUGAAGUUUUCAGUCUCCAGCUGACACUGAGACCCCAGCGUCUGAGACCAAAAGGAAAACAAUCAAAUAAGCAACAGUUCUGAUCCCAACAGGCCAAGUUGCCUCUUUCAGGAAAAAUCUGCUCACAUCAUGAAUUCUGGACACGCAAUUGUUGUUUAAAUAGUUCAUUCCCAAGAGGCCACCCUUCACUGAUAGAUACAGCUUUGUGUAAUAUGACCGUAGCUUCGUCUCUGUAAUUUCAGUAAGACUACAAUUCCCACCUCAAGAGGUGGAAGUGAAGUCUAAUUUUCCGUGAGGAUCACGUGUGCAUGUGGAUGUGUGUGUGUUUCUUUUUCUGUGGGUCCAAGUCUUUAUCUUGCUAAAUCCAUUACACCUCCUCUCUGCCUGUCUGCACUGGAGAUAAAAAAUGGCAUUUUCUGGCCUCAGGCCACUGCAUUUGGCCAAACAUUCUCCCAGCAAAGUUAUGAACAAAAUUUCCUCCUCCAUUUGUGCUCUUCUGAAAGAGACGUCUGGCUGCAUUCACUGUCCACUGUCCUCAGAGAAUAACUGAAGGAACAAAUGAAACCAGAUAUAAUGAGCUCUGUGCCUGUCAUCUUGAGUUUCAAUGAACUUAUCUCUUUACUGGCUUUGAAGAGCUGAAAUCACUCCAUGUGCUGGGGGGGUAGUUUAGAGAAUAUGAAGAAUUUGAUCCUUGGUGGGGCUAAAUAGUUGUGAUCCUGGGCUACUUUUGAGUUGUUUCUCCUUGGCUGACAUGGACUUUCUGAAGGCACUUGUUUUCAAGAGAAAUCAGAAAUAUGCUUCAGAAAAAUAACCAUCAAAUCAUUUUGGAAGAAAUAAGAAAAGAACAUUUAUUUUAGCAAUAAGAUAAUCUCUUCUGGGAUUCAUAACUAAUUUGGUGGAAGUGUUUCUAUUUUAAAUAAAAUCCACAUCAGUAUUAGAAGAAUGUGGAUUGAUUUUCUGGGCCUUUUAGGGCCACCAACCUCAGCAUUUGCCGAAUGUGGACUCAAGGACUCUGUCUCUUUGCACUUGCUGCUUCCUGUUUUUGGAGAUGCUUCUACCUCCUCUCUCUGACAAACUUCUUCCUACUCACCUGGCAGGGUCCAGCUGCACACCCCCUCUUCCAUGAGGCCUGCUGGCGCUCCCACUUCCCCAACCUCUCCUCACCAUGCACAGGGGCGGCCACUCUCCUCUUUGGACUCUCGCAGCCUCUUUUUAUAGUUCUAUCUAGGUCUUUGCUAUAUUUGCCCGGGGAGGCUGUGAUCAACAUGGGAACAGGGGUUUGGUUUUGUUCAUUUUCAUUUUCGCAGGCCUUGGAGGACUCACGCAGCUUGUAAUGGCACAGGCUUGAUGGAUGGAUGAAUUGGCAAAUCACUUUGAGGAAAAUCUCUUUGAUUGGUAUAUUUGAUUCCUAGUUAACAAACUGC